AGAUUCACUUGCUUAUCUGGACUCCAGUCUAACCUCACUUGCAACUACUUCAGUCGUGUGGGGGUGGUUGAUAAGCCCUGUCAGAGCUUAAUCCUGUCUAAACGUUCAGAUGUUUAGUUCCUGUUGAGUGCUUCUCUACUAGGGACGUACGUAUUCUUCUCUCUUUUUUUUUCUCUCCUGACGUCCAUAAUUACAGACAGAGAUUGAAAAGUAACCUUGAGAGAGUCCCUCCCUUGAUUCCAGGACCAAAAGACAAAGAUCUUCAUAUUUAAAGGACCCACCAGCUACCCACAGUGACUGAAAAAGGACCUAUGUUAAAGCACACCAUUAAAAAGAUCAGAACACUAAGAAUAAAGAGAAGAUUCUAAAAAUUUUCAGAGGGAAGCCGCAGGAAUAAAUGGAUGGGAAUUAGAAUGGCAUUGGGUUUCUCAACAAUAACACUUUUAUGCUAAAACACUACAGUGAAAUUUCAAGUUUUGUAAGACAAUAACUUCCAACCUAGAAUCCUAUAGUCAAACUAUCCAUCAAGUGUAAGAAUAGAAUAAAAACAUUUUCACAUAUACAAGGAUGAAAACAUUUAUUUUCCAUCCAUCCAUCCACCUUUUUUUUUUUUUU
This is a long non-coding RNA of Orcinus orca (killer whale), 615 nucleotides long. RefSeq lists it as uncharacterized. The record is from RefSeq and is a predicted model, not a curated record. The transcript is spliced from 2 exons. NCBI's taxonomy places the organism in Eukaryota, Metazoa, Chordata, Mammalia, Artiodactyla, Delphinidae.